RNAcentral lists this small RNA (714 nucleotides) under Oryza sativa Japonica Group (Japanese rice). RNAcentral describes it as "sRNA Os11g0205301". Lineage: Eukaryota; Viridiplantae; Streptophyta; Magnoliopsida; Poales; Poaceae. The record is from RNAcentral.
GCAAGUAUUUUCAGUACGUACUCCCUCCUGAGAGACUCUGGAAGAGCGAUAAGCAUACUCAUUUGAGCCGGCACUUUUACAAAAGCAGCUGCAGCAUUGACAACUUCAGUACCACAUCACUUCAAUUGUGCCAAACUUGGUCGGAACAGCAGUAAGGCCAGAACUUGGCAACUUCUUAGCAAGCACGUUCUCUAGAACUUGGCAGUAUCCAUUUUUGAAACCCCCUUCUGAUUUCCAGCUUGGAUCUAAAGCAAUCUCGAACAAUGCCUUGAUCAGCUCCUCAUCCUCAAAGUACGUCCAAAUCCUCUUGUUCUUGCCUCUCCCACGCACAAUGCAUGAGCUUCCAAGAUGCUCCAUAACUGCAAUAUUAGAAAUAGCCCUAUAGCUAUUAUACAUCCCCUGAGCAAGAGUGUUGCGAAAAUUUGUCCAAUCAUCAGAUGUCGAAAUAGCUGAGAUAAACUCAGGUUCGGCGAGUUCUCCCUCAAGUAUAUCCAAUGGUAUCUCGUCCUCAUCCUUAUCCUCGAAAAUAUGAUGGGGAUCUCAAAAUCGCCCAACGACCCUUUAGUCUUCCAAAAGACCUCUGUACAAUAUUUCUAGCACUUGCAUGCCUCAUGUUAAAGUACUCCUCUGCACUACAUGGUGGGUUACAUGCUGUGAAACGGCCUAAAUGAUAUCUUUGGCCUCGGUAAGGGGCUAAAAAACCAUCUGUCACUU